This 253-nucleotide ribosomal RNA is filed under the name uncultured bacterium. RNAcentral describes it as "partial 16S ribosomal RNA". It matches the Rfam family "Bacterial small subunit ribosomal RNA", at positions 524 to 776 of the family's 1533-position model. The record is from RNAcentral.
UACGUAGGGGGCAAGCGUUGUCCGGAUUUAUUGGGCGUAAAGAGCGUGUAGGCGGCCAGGUAGGUCCGUUGUGAAAACUGGAGGCUUAACCUCCAGCUGUCGAUGGAAACCAUCUGGCUAGAGUCCGGAAGAGGAGAGUGGAAUUCCUGGUGUAGCGGUGAAAUGCGCAGAUAUCAGGAAGAACACCCGUGGCGAAGGCGGCUCUCCGGGACGGUACUGACGCUGAGACGCGAAAGCGUGGGGAGCGAACAGG